GAAUAAUCUUGUAUAGAGCAACUGAAUUGCGAAAAAAGGAUUUGAUUUCUGUGUACGAAGAUAAAGUGAAGGGUUUGGUGAAGAAACUUCUUGCUCUUGAUGGAGUUUCAGAAAGUGAGGUAUGCUUUGAAGAUUUCCUUUGGUAGGGAUCUCCUCAAAAUGAACUCUUUCUUAUUCUCUCUAAAAAUGGGGUGGGUGGGG
Hibiscus syriacus is the source of this 201-nucleotide long non-coding RNA. RefSeq lists it as uncharacterized. The record is from RefSeq and is a predicted model, not a curated record. The transcript is spliced from 3 exons. NCBI's taxonomy places the organism in Eukaryota, Viridiplantae, Streptophyta, Magnoliopsida, Malvales, Malvaceae.